RNAcentral lists this ribosomal RNA (497 nucleotides) under uncultured bacterium. RNAcentral describes it as "partial 16S ribosomal RNA". It matches the Rfam family "Bacterial small subunit ribosomal RNA", at positions 28 to 507 of the family's 1533-position model. The record is from RNAcentral.
GAUGAACGCUGGCGGCGUGCCUAAUACAUGCAAGUCGAGCGAACAGACGAGGAGCUUGCUCCUCUGACGUUAGCGGCGGACGGGUGAGUAACACGUGGAUAACCUACCUAUAAGACUGGGAUAACUUCGGGAAACCGGAGCUAAUACCGGAUAAUAUAUUGAACCGCAUGGUUCAAUAGUGAAAGACGGUUUUGCUGUCACUUAUAGAUGGAUCCGCGCCGCAUUAGCUAGUUGGUAAGGUAACGGCUUACCAAGGCGACGAUGCGUAGCCGACCUGAGAGGGGGGUCGGCCACACUGGAACUGAGACACGGUCCAGACUCCUACGGGAGGCAGCAGUAGGGAAUCUGCCGCAAUGGGCGAAAGCCUGACGGAGCAACGCCGCGUGAGUGAUGAAGGUCUUCGGAUCGUAAAACUCUGUUAUUAGGGAAGAACAAAUGUGUAAGUAACUAUGCACGUCUUGACGGUACCUAAUCAGAAAGCCACGGCUAACUACGUG